This 1474-nucleotide ribosomal RNA is filed under the name metagenome. RNAcentral's name for it is "bacterial SSU rRNA". It matches the Rfam family "Bacterial small subunit ribosomal RNA". The record is from RNAcentral.
AGAGUUUGAUCAUGGCUCAGGACGAACGCUGGCGGCGUGCCUAACACAUGCAAGUCGAACGGAGAUAAAGAUUUCGGUCUUUAUCUUAGUGGCGCACGGGUGAGUAACACGUGAAUAACCUGACCCAAAGAGGGGGAUAACACCUGGAAACAGGUGCUAAUACCGCAUAAGACCACAAUGUCGCAUGACGAAGGGGUCAAAGAAAAUCGCUUUGGGAGGGGUUCGCGUCCCAUUAGGUAGUAGGCGGGGUAACGGCCCACCUAGCCGACGAUGGGUAGCCGAGCUGAGAGGCUGAUCGGCCACACUGGAACUGAGACACGGUCCAGACUCCUACGGGAGGCAGCAGUGGGGAAUAUUGGGCAAUGGGCCCAAGCCUGACCCAGCAACGCCGCGUGAGGGAAGAAGGUUUUCGGAUUGUAAACCUCUGUCGCAGAAGACGAAGGAAGUGACGGUAUUCUGUGAGGAAGCCCCGGCUAACUACGUGCCAGCAGCCGCGGUAAUACGUAGGGGGCGAGCGUUGUCCGGAAUUACUGGGCGUAAAGGGAGCGUAGGCGGUCUGAUAAGUUGGAUGUGAAAUACCCGGGCUUAACUUGGGGGGUGCAUCCAAUACUGUUGGACUAGAGUACAGGAGAGGAAAGCGGUAUUCCUAGUGUAGCGGUGAAAUGCAUAGAUAUUAGGAGGAACAUCGGUGGCGAAGGCGGCUUUCUGGACUGCAACUGACGCUGAGGCUCGAAAGCGUGGGGAGCAAACAGGAUUAGAUACCCUGGUAGUCCACGCUGUAAACGAUGAAUACUAGGUGUAGGGGGUAUAAACUCCCUCUGUGCCGCAGCAAACGCAAUAAGUAUUCCGCCUGGGGAGUACGGCCGCAAGGUUGAAACUCAAAGGAAUUGACGGGGGCCCGCACAAGCAGCGGAGCAUGUGGUUUAAUUCGACGCAACGCGAAGAACCUUACCAAGGCUUGACAUCCACUUAAAGUUAUGGAAACAUAAUGUCCCUUCGGGGGAAGUGAGACAGGUGGUGCAUGGUUGUCGUCAGCUCGUGUCGUGAGAUGUUGGGUUAGGUCCCGCAACGAGCGCAACCCUUAUCUUCAGUAGCCAGCAUAUAGGAUGGGCACUCUGGAGAGACUGCCAGGGAUAACCUGGAGGAAGGUGGGGAUGACGUCAAAUCAUCAUGCCCCUUAUGACCAGGGCUACACACGUGCUACAAUGGCGUAAACAAAGGGAAGCAGAGCCGCGAGGCCGAGCAAAUCUCAAAAAUAACGUCUCAGUUCGGAUUGUAGUCUGCAACUCGACUACAUGAAGCUGGAAUCGCUAGUAAUCGCAGAUCAGAAUGCUGCGGUGAAUACGUUCCCGGGUCUUGUACACACCGCCCGUCACACCAUGGGAGUCAGUAACGCCCGAAGUCAGUGACCCAACCGAAAGGAGGGAGCUGCCGAAGGUGGGACCGAUAACUGGGGUGAAGUCGUAACAAGGUA